This 305-nucleotide unclassified non-coding RNA is filed under the name plant metagenome. RNAcentral's name for it is "partial contains 5.8S ribosomal RNA, internal transcribed spacer 2, and large subunit ribosomal RNA". The stretch from base 1 to 105 matches the Rfam family "5.8S ribosomal RNA", at positions 50 to 154 of the family's 154-position model. The record is from RNAcentral.
GAAAUGCGAUAAGUAAUGUGAAUUGCAGAAUUCAGUGAAUCAUCGAAUCUUUGAACGCACAUUGCGCCCGCCAGUAUUCUGGCGGGCAUGCCUGUUCGAGCGUCAUUUCAACCAUCAAGCCCCCGGCUUGUGUUGGGGACCUGCGGCUGCCCGCAGGCCCUGAAAACCAGUGGCGGGCUCGCUGUCACACCGAGCGUAGUAGCAAUCACCUCGCUCAGGGCGUGCUGCGGGUUCCGGCCGUUAAACAGCCUUACAAAACCCAAGGUUGACCUCGGAUCAGGUAGGAAGACCCGCUGAACUUAAGC